RNAcentral lists this transfer RNA (336 nucleotides) under Spirulina subsalsa PD2002/gca. RNAcentral describes it as "partial contains 16S-23S ribosomal RNA intergenic spacer and 23S ribosomal RNA". The stretch from base 69 to 142 matches the Rfam family "tRNA". Lineage: Bacteria; Bacillati; Cyanobacteriota; Cyanophyceae; Spirulinales; Spirulinaceae. The record is from RNAcentral.
GGUCAUCCCAAGGUCGAGCAGAGAACCAAAAAACAAGUAAGCUCUCAAACUAUGAAAGGUUCGGAAAAGGGCUAUUAGCUCAGGUGGUUAGAGCGCACCCCUGAUAAGGGUGAGGUCCCUGGUUCGAGUCCAGGAUGGCCCACAUCUAAAAACCAAAACCGAAAUCCAAAGUAAAUGGAUGUAAUUGGGAAGAAAUUCAGCACUACUCAAAAGUAAAAGAGUAAAUGCUGAAGGAAACUUCAGCCCAGAACCUUGAAAACUGCAUAAGAAACCAAAAAGUGUAGAGAGUCCUGCUUUGCAGGAAUCUUAAAACAAGUUAGGUCAAGUUAGAAAGAG